GUAAACCUAUUUAUUUUGGCGGCUUUUCAUUUUUAUUAGAGGAACUUGUCAAAUAAUCGAUAGUCCACGCUAAUUUUAACUUCAAUCAAAAAUUUAUAUACCGCCAUCUAAAGAAUUUUAUAAAAGCUAUACUCUUAAUGAUAAACAAAAAGUUAGGUCAAGGUGUAAUCUAUAUUUAAGGUUUAUGAUGUGUUACAUUUAACUUAAUUUAAGGAUUAUUAAUUUAUAAAUUAAUAUAAAAGAGGAUUUAUAAGUAUUUUAAAAAUAAAAAUUUUUAAAG
RNAcentral lists this ribosomal RNA (280 nucleotides) under Mituliodon tarantulinus. RNAcentral's name for it is "partial 12S ribosomal RNA". The record is from RNAcentral. Lineage: Eukaryota; Metazoa; Arthropoda; Arachnida; Araneae; Miturgidae.